UAUCAAUCACUGUGAAACAGAAUGGGAAGGUUGUACAUUUGAGCAGCUUUUUCACUGGUUUUGCAUUCAAUGAUGAGGCUCUCAGAACCAAUACUAGACAUGGAAAUGGCAAACUACAGUGAAGUUUUAGAUCCGACGUAUACGGCACUGGAGUUUGAAACUAUGCAGAUUCUGUAUAAUGGCAAUGAGAGUUCAGGAGAAGCUGUCAACAUGAAUGCUGCUGACAAUGGGGUCAGUAGUCUCUGUGCAAUAUGUGGAGACCGAGCGACUGGAAAACAUUACGGUGCUUCCAGCUGUGAUGGAUGCAAGGGGUUUUUUAGACGCAGCAUAAGGAAAAACCACGUCUACUCGUGCAGAUUCAGCCGACAAUGUAUCGUUGACAAGGACAAAAGGAAUCAAUGCAGAUAUUGUCGUUUAAAAAAGUGUUUUCGAGCAGGAAUGAAAAAAGAAGCUGUACAAAAUGAACGGGACAGGAUAAGUACAAGAAGAAACACCUUUGAUGGCUGCAACAUUCCUUCUAUUAGCACAUUGUCACAAGCUGAGACACUCUCCCGUCAGAUCUCAAUGUCCAGUCCUGGUUCUAGCACUGAUAUAAAUGUUAAGAAAAUUGCUGGUGUUAGUGAUGUCUGUGAAUCUAUGAAGCAACAACUUCUGGUCCUGGUGGAAUGGGCUAAAUAUAUUCCAGGCUUCUGUGAAUUACCACUGGAUGACCAGGUUGCCCUGCUAAGAGCACAUGCUGGGGAACACCUGUUGCUUGGAGCAGCAAAACGGUCCAUGGCGUAUAAGGACAUUUUACUUUUAGGCAACAAUUACAUAAUCCAUCGCAACAGUACUGAAGUAGAGAUCUGCCGAGUGGCGAAUCGCAUUCUGGAUGAAUUAGUUCGACCCUUCCAGGAAAUUCAAAUAGACGACAAUGAGUACGCUUGCUUGAAAGCAAUUGUGUUUUUUGAUCCAGAUGCAAAAGGCCUGAGUAACCCAAUGAAGAUUAAGAAUAUGCGGUUCCAAGUCCAAAUCAGUUUAGAGGAUUAUAUUAAUGACCGUCAGUACGACUCCAGAGGAAGAUUUGGAGAACUACUUCUUCUACUGCCUACACUCCAGAGCAUCACUUGGCAAAUGAUUGAGCAAAUACAAUUGGUUAAACUAUUUGGAAUUGUUAAAAUUGACAGUUUGCUUCAGGAGAUGUUACUAGGAGGUACUUCUAAUGAUGCCAGUCAUCUGCAUCACCCAAUGCAUCCUCACUUAGCCCAAGAUCCAUUAACUGGCCAAACAAUCCUCAUAAGUUCAAUGUCUGCUCCUGUACAUACAGAACAGAUUUCAACUCCAGAAACUCCAUUACCUUCCCCUCCUCAAGGCUCUGGGCAAGAAUACAAAAUGUCUGCAAAUCAGGCUUCAGUCAUUGCACAGCAGUCUAUUUUGAAACAAAAACCAUUGUGAUGAUGUUUCUGUCUCUGUCUUAAUCCACCCUUCCUUCCUUUCUUCCUUCCUUCCUUCCUUCCUUUUUAUGCACUAGAUAAAUUGGUAGGACACUUGCACAUUUAAAAUCUCAGGUUGAUAAACGAAAUUAUUUCCUCAGCAGCCGCUGCUGUGGGUGUUCCUUUAAACACCUCACAAUCUGAAAAGUAGUGCUGUUCUGACUGCCACAUACAACUGUAACUGUGGACACUGAAGUCUGACAAAUAUGUAUAGAGGUUCAUAUUAUUUUUAGAUCUUAUAACUGCACAGAUUCAUGUUUUUAUUUCCUGUUUCAGUUGUUGUCUUAAUAUUAUCAUUUUAGAUGUGUAUAUAUAUUUCUUUUUGUGACAGAACUGGUUAGUGCUUGUUUAGUUGUGAAUUGUAGAGAAGAAAAAGUGGGUUAAUCAGGCAAAAGCCAAAGUUCCACUAAUAAUAAACCAGUAGGCUACCAAAAAAGCACAUGAAUUAAAAAAAAAAGGACGGAAAUGCACAACUCAUUUAAAAAAAUAUUGAUUUGAAAGGACCAUCUCUUUCAAGUAAUAGUGUUGAAUCCUUCCUGCUCAUCUGUUUGUAUGAGUCAGAGGGCCUGCCGUGAGUGAAUAUGCUUGAGGGCUUUUUAAAAUCUGUGUAGACAGUGAUGCCUGUAUCAGUCAAUUGGAUAGUGCCAAAGCAUUUACAUUGCUAAAUAGUUAAAACAAGGACUGGUAUGUUUUUUGGUCAGGACUAACUAGUACUCUCCCCAAAAAUUUAUGGGCACACUUUGGCCAGUCUAUGGACACUUUUCACCAGGAGUUUUGAAUACAGCCCCCCUCUUCAGGGGGCAGAGAGGAAUACAGACAGACUGUACCAUUUGACCUCAGGAAUGGAGUAUAGACUUUGUGCUGUUUGAUUUACUUGUGUAAGUGUAGCCUUUGGGUUUAUUUACCUAACUGGCUGGUGAAUGCAUGUUUCAGCAAUCACUAAACUUCACCUACAGAGAUGUUGUAGUUAAUGUAGCAGCUCUGUCUGGAAAGGUAUGGCUAACUAAUUGAAGUGGCAUAUGUGCCUGAGUUCAGCUCCAGGUGUUCCUAGUUUGAGCCAUGGUAUUUCAAGCCAGAAGACAGCCAACCCACAAAGUAUUCAUCCUCUCAAUUUUUAAGAGUUUUCAGAAGCUUGGGAUGAAUCAAUUUUCUGUGAUGAACCCCCACCUCCUCUUCCUCCCAUUACAGUCUGGGAGGAUCCAACAUUGACUAAGUUUUGUGUCUGAAGUCUAUAACAGCUCAUCUGGAUUUGGACCCUCUGUGGAUUUGCACAAAGUGGACCUUGUGACACAUGCUCACUUGGGCAUGUACACUCAGUUACAAUUUGUGAAAAUAAUCUAAUAUGUUAAGUGAUAUGUUGUUCCUACAAUACUGACAUCAUAAGAAAAUUACCACUUUGCACAUUUUAUUUAUUCCGGACAGCAAUGAUUUUUCUUUAGUACUUUAAAGUAGACUUUCUUCUCAGAAGAUAUUUAAGAGAGAAACAGAUGAAAAAGAUAUAAUAAAAUAUUGCAGUUUGCUGAACUAUUGCAAAGAGAAAAUAGUCAGAGUCAGAAAUUCUGAGUCAGAAUUUCUGCAAGGUGAGAUUGAUCAUCCUGAACAACACCUUCACUAAUCACAACAUCCAAAGAUGGUGUAGUUACACCUCUGGCUUGUAAAAGUUGCUCAAACAAUCUGCAAUGAUUCUUCAAAUACAUUUUUGUAGGCAGGAAAUGCAACACAUUAAAUGCUGAGCUAACCUGAACAUUCAAAAGGCUUUAAUGAGAAUACACUACUACCAGGUAGAUGCUGUGUUUCUUAUUAUUUUAAAGUAGUUGCUUUUGUAAAGUCCAUGCAGUGGCUCUUAACAUUUACCUUUUGCUUUAUAGAUGGUUUUUCUUUUUGCUGUUUACUGUUUGUUUUUUUAUCAAGGCAUUACUCUUUUUGCAAGUUCCUUUUAGCAUGAGUUUUUAUGACAGAAUAAGGUUCUGAAGUUUUGCCAUUAACUUCAGGGGUAUCCAGAACGUGCUAUUUUUACAAGUUCACCACCAACACUUUAUGGUGAAACACAGAGGUAAAGCAUGUGUGAGAGAUACUGAGCAACCCAAAAGUUUACUGAUUGGGCUCACUUUUGUGUACUUGUCAUAGAAAGAGUGUUGGACUCAAGGUGGAUCUACAUGAAUUUAAUGGGUCAGAUUAAUGAAGUUAGUUGCAUAAACGUGGCAGUAUCGGUCUGACUAAAAACAUUUAACUGGAAAUAAAAAGUAGUCCCCAAGUUGGCUACCCUUGCCUUAUAUAAGAGAUAUGCAUAAUAGCUUAAUGGAUUUAUUUUUCACACUGUACUUUAGAUAUCAAGUGUACAAUAAAAUAUUUUCACACACUGCCAAAAUGUACUGGAGGAAAGAUAUACUUUAGUGUUUUGUCUGACAAAACGUUGUUAUCUAUUUUGUAUGAUAUAUUACAUUUUGGAAUAAGAACACCACUGUAAUUUAUUGGGAAAAGCUGAUUUAUUUUAUAAAUGUAGCAUUAUUUUUUUAAACUUAAUUAUGAAAAAUCAGAAAUGAUUAACUUUGUUAAAUAUUAAAUUAUAAUGAGGUGUAACUUUAUAUGUUUGAACUCUGAUACCAAGUUUUUGUGUUGAGCAUUUGGAAUUGAAAUGGUUGCUGAAAAUAUUUCAAAUGGACUGUUUUUCAUCAAAACUUAAUAAAGAAAAAUGAAUGAUCCAAAUGACA
This is an RNA transcript of Chiroxiphia lanceolata (lance-tailed manakin), 4183 nucleotides long. It is a transcript of the gene named hepatocyte nuclear factor 4 gamma, with no coding region annotated. The transcript is spliced from 11 exons. The record is from RefSeq and is a predicted model, not a curated record. NCBI's taxonomy places the organism in Eukaryota, Metazoa, Chordata, Aves, Passeriformes, Pipridae.